RNAcentral lists this ribosomal RNA (744 nucleotides) under uncultured bacterium. RNAcentral's name for it is "bacterial SSU rRNA". It matches the Rfam family "Bacterial small subunit ribosomal RNA", at positions 8 to 796 of the family's 1533-position model. The record is from RNAcentral.
AGAGUUUGAUCCUGGCUCAGAACGAACGCUGGCGGCAGGCCUCAAACAUGCAAGUCUAGGGGGUGUAGCAAUACAUCACCGGCGGACGGGUGCGUAACACGUGGGAAUAUACCUUUUGGUUCGGAACAACGCAGGGAAACUUGCGCUAAUACCGAAUGUGCCCUUACGGGGAAAGAUUUAUCGCCAAAGGAUUAGCCCGCGUAGGAUUAGCUAGUUGGUGAGGUAAUGGCUCACCAAGGCUCCGAUCCUUAGCUGUUCUGAGAGGAAGAUCAGCCACACUGGGACUGAGACACGGCCCAGACUCCUACGGGAGGCAGCAGUUGGGAAUCUUGGACAAUGGAGGAAACCCUGAUCCAGCCAUGCCGCGUGAGUGAUGAAGGCCUUCGGGUUGUAAAACUCUUUCGACGGGGACGAUAAUGACGGUACCCGUAGAAGAAGCUCCGGCUAACUUCGUGCCAGCAGCCGCGGCAAUACGAAGGGGGCUAGCGUUGUUCGGAAUUACUGGGCGUAAAGCGCGCGCAGGCGGCUAUCCAAGUCAGUGGUGAAAGCCCGGAGCUCAACUCCGGAACUGCCAUUGAAACUGUUUAGCUUGAGGACGAGAGAGGUGAGUGGAAUUCCCAGUGUAGAGGUGAAAUUCGUAGAUAUUGGGAAGAACACCGGUGGCGAAGGCGGCUCACUGGCUCGUAUCUGACGCUCACGCGCGACAGCGUGGGGAUCAAACAGGAUUAGAUACCCUGGUAGUCC